This 500-nucleotide ribosomal RNA is filed under the name uncultured bacterium. RNAcentral's name for it is "partial 16S ribosomal RNA". It matches the Rfam family "Bacterial small subunit ribosomal RNA", at positions 30 to 523 of the family's 1533-position model. The record is from RNAcentral.
AUUGAACGCUGGCGGAAUGCUUUACACAUGCAAGUCGAACGGCGGCACGGACUUCGGUCUGGUGGCGAGUGGCGAACGGGUGAGUAAUGUAUCGGAACGUGCCCAGUCGUGGGGGAUAACGUAGUGAAAAUUACGCUAAUACCGCAUACGAUCUAUGGAUGAAAGCGGGGGAUCGCAAGACCUCGCGCGAUUGGAGCGGCCGAUAUCAGAUUAGGUAGUUGGUGGGGUAAAGGCCCACCAAGCCAACGAUCUGUAGCUGGUCUGAGAGGACGACCAGCCACACUGGAACUGAGACACGGUCCAGACUCCUACGGGAGGCAGCAGUGGGGAAUUUUGGACAAUGGGCGAAAGCCUGAUCCAGCCAUUCCGCGUGCAGGAUGAAGGCCCUCGGGUUGUAAACUGCUUUUGUACAGAACGAAAAGGUUUCUACUAAUACUAGGAGCUCAUGACGGUACUGUAAGAAUAAGCACCGGCUAACUACGUGCCAGUAGCCGCAGUAA